AUUGAACGCUGGCGGCAUGCUUUACACAUGCAAGUCGAACGGCAGCGCGGGCUUCGGCCUGGCUGCGAGUGGCGAACGGGUGAGUAAUGCAUCGGAACGUGCCCAGUAGUGGGGGAUAGCCCGGCGAAAGCCGGAUUAAUACUGCAUACGACCUGAGGGUGAAAGCGGGGGACCGAAAGGCCUCGCGCUCUUGGAGCGGCCGAGGUCGGAUUAGCUAGUUGGUGGGGUAAAGGCUUACCAAGGCGACGAUCCGUAGCUGGUCUGAGAGGACGACCAGCCACACUAGGACUGGAACACGGCCCAGACUCCUGCGGGAGGCAGCAGUGGGGAAUUUUGGGCAAUGGGGGCGAACCUGAUCCAGCCAUGCCGCGUGCGAGAAGAAGGCCUUCGGGUUGUGAACCGCGUUUGUUGGGGAAGAAAUGCUCUGGGCUAAGACCAAGGGGGGAUGACGGUACCGGAAGAAGAAGCACCGGCUAACUACGUG
RNAcentral lists this ribosomal RNA (484 nucleotides) under uncultured bacterium. RNAcentral describes it as "partial 16S ribosomal RNA". It matches the Rfam family "Bacterial small subunit ribosomal RNA", at positions 28 to 507 of the family's 1533-position model. The record is from RNAcentral.